Molecule: long non-coding RNA, 1124 nt
Organism: Ahaetulla prasina
Lineage: Eukaryota; Metazoa; Chordata; Lepidosauria; Squamata; Colubridae
Exons: 3
Source: RefSeq, a predicted model, not a curated record
AGAAGGAGAGAAAGAGAGAGAGAGAAGGAGACAGACAGACAGACAGACAGACACACACACACACACACACACACAGAGAGAGAGAGAGAGAGAGAGAAGGGGAAGGAAGGGGGGCGGGAGAGAGAAAGGAGAAGAAGAAGGAGAAAGAGAGAGAGAGAGAGAGAGAGAAAUUUCUUCUCCCUGGCCGUGCAGGUGAGAGGAGCUUUGUGAUCUAAAGGCUCCCGCGGGGAGCGCGUGCUUGCAGCUGCUGGCCCGUCACAAUGACAGAUGUCCUCGUUUGCCGCCACUAGCCCGCGCUUAGAGACGGGCUCGGGGGAGCGGGGGGGGGCUGCUCUUUCCAGAACCGGGAGCUGCCCUCGGUCCCGCUUCCUCCGCUCCUUCCCUCCUGAAGCACCUUCGCGCCGACCUGGUGCGCGGAGCUCUUGGAGCACCGAGGGGUGGGUGGGGCUCCUGCAGACGAUUUCCAGCGCAAACCAGGAAGAGCCGAGCGCAACGCGUGAAUGUAAACACGGGAGGGGAGGGGAGGGGAAGGGGAAGGGGGCCGAGACUUUCCCUUUACGGGGUAGGUAGGGGGAUUAAGGGUCGGGAGAAAUCCCAGUCCCCGGAAUGCGAAGUGGGCAGCUACCUUUUAAAAAAAUGGGGGGCGGGGGGAAGGAAGACUUUGGGGCAAGUGUGGGGCCCAUUCAGUCGAGCGGCAAGGAGGGAUCCUCAACAGAGCGAGGCAGGCUUCCUGGAUUAAGAGAAACCCUGCUCGCGAUGACGUGAAAAGGGCUCCCUCCUCUUGUAAAACUACAGAGUUCGGGAUUGCGUCACUGCCUCCCGGUAAAAGGCGGGAGACCAGAAAGAUCAAAUAGACAUUUGUUUUGUACUAAAGCACCAGUCCUGUGAAGUCUCCUCCGGAGCUCCUGCUUCUCUCCCUCAAGGCCCUUCCCUCUAAACCCCCUGAGCUGAACCACGAUCACAGGAGAUCUGCCCAUCAUAGAUUGGAAGGUCUACCAUAACUGGCGAUGUUGGCAACUGCAACUGCAGAUUUUAUUUCCCAAAACAACGGUUUCCUUCCCUGAGCUCCUCAAUGGAAUGGAAAUGUCUUAAUUGACAACUUGUUUCAAGAAAAGAGUUUCUCC